Molecule: ribosomal RNA, 550 nt
Filed under: uncultured bacterium
Lineage: Bacteria
Description: bacterial SSU rRNA
Rfam family: Bacterial small subunit ribosomal RNA
Source: RNAcentral
UAGGGAAUCUUCCACAAUGGGCGCAAGCCUGAUGGAGCAACACCGCGUGAGUGAAGAAGGGUUUCGGCUCGUAAAGCUCUGUUGUUAAAGAAGAACACGUAUGAGAGUAACUGUUCAUACGUUGACGGUAUUUAACCAGAAAGUCACGGCUAACUACGUGCCAGCAGCCGCGGUAAUACGUAGGUGGCAAGCGUCAUCCGGAUUUAUUGGGCGUAAAGAGAGUGCAGGCGGUUUUCUAAGUCUGAUGUGAAAGCCUUCGGCUUAACCGGAGAAGUGCAUCGGAAACUGGAUAACUUGAGUGCAGAAGAGGGUAGUGGAACUCCAUGUGUAGCGGUGGAAUGCGUAGAUAUAUGGAAGAACACCAGUGGCGAAGGCGGCUACCUGGUCUGCAACUGACGCUGAGACUCGAAAGCAUGGGUAGCGAACAGGAUUAGAUACCCUGGUAGUCCAUGCCGUAAACGAUGAGUGCUAGGUGUUGGAGGGUUUCCGCCCUUCAGUGCCGGAGCUAACGCAUUAAGCACUCCGCCUGGGGAGUACGACCGCAAGGUUG